Molecule: ribosomal RNA, 413 nt
Filed under: uncultured bacterium
Lineage: Bacteria
Description: bacterial SSU rRNA
Rfam family: Bacterial small subunit ribosomal RNA
Source: RNAcentral
UGAGGAAUAUUGGGCAAUGCCCGAAAGGGUGACCCAGCAACGCCGCGUGGAGGAUGAAGGUCGUAAGAUUGUAAACUCCUGUUAGAGGGGAAGAAUAACUAAGUUUGGAGCUUAGUAUGACUGUACCCUCAGAGAAAGCCCCGGCUAACUACGUGCCAGCAGCCGCGGUAAUACGUAGGGGGCAAGCGUUGUCCGGAUUUACUGGGUGUAAAGGGCGCGCAGGCGGAAUGGAAAGUCAGUGGUGAAAUCCUACAGCUUAACUGUAGAACUGCCUUUGAUACUUUUAUUCUUGAGUUCGGGAGAGAGAGACGGAAUUCCAGGUGUAGUGGUGAAAUACGUAGAUAUCUGGAAGAACACCAGUUGCGAAGGCGGUCUCUUGGUCCGACACUGACGCCGAGGCGCGAAAGCGUGGG